RNAcentral lists this unclassified non-coding RNA (289 nucleotides) under uncultured fungus. RNAcentral's name for it is "partial contains 5.8S rRNA, ITS2 and 28S rRNA". It matches the Rfam family "Eukaryotic large subunit ribosomal RNA", at positions 668 to 961 of the family's 3401-position model. Lineage: Eukaryota; Fungi. The record is from RNAcentral.
AAGGAGUCUAACAUAUCUGCGAGUAUUUGGGUGUCAAACCCGAGUGCGCAAUGAAAGUGAACGUAGGAGCCACGCGCAAGCUGCAGCUUCGACCGGUCUGGAUAUUUAGUGAUGGAUUUGAGUAAGAGCAUAUAUGUUGGGACCCGAAAGAUGGCGGACUAUGCCUGAAUAGGGCGAAGCCAGAGGAAACUCUGGUGGAGGCUCGUAGCGAUUCUGACGUGCAAAUCGAUCGUCAAAUUUGGGUAUAGGGGCGAAAGACUAAUAGAACCAUCUAGUAGCUGGUUCCUGC